UCUUCCUCGCGUCCAACCAAACAUCGCUCGAGUCCCAGAGAGACAGAGAGAGACAGAGAGAGAAAGAGCUCUGCCGGCGAAGUUUGAAGAACAUGACGGGCCAAAAGAAGCACUAGCGGGGUGAUAGGGGCGGGACGUCCGAGCCGCGAGCGCGGGGGACGUCGACGACGACGUCGGAGGGAUCUUCAGCCCGCCCACGAGGACGAGAGGAUCGUACGGCGACCUUGCCGACGGGGCAGCGUCCGGGCGCCGCAGGGAAUAGCACCGGCUCGGACAUAGUGACUCCGUCGGGGAGUGGCGCGCCUGCGACACGGCGGCGCCAGCCUAGUUCUGAGGAAGUCGUCGUGCCUCCUGUGGCAGGAGAGCUGACCCCUGCCGAGGCGCCACUGCGCGACCCUAGCAACGGAAGGGACGCCCGUGCAGAAACAACGGCGGCGGCGGGCGCCGACGCGCCUGCGGCACACCUGCCUGCCCUUCCACCGGUGAAACGCCAAAUCAUCCUCCUUGAUCGGCCGCCGC
This is a long non-coding RNA of Triticum aestivum (bread wheat), 519 nucleotides long. RefSeq lists it as uncharacterized. The transcript has 3 exons. NCBI's taxonomy places the organism in Eukaryota, Viridiplantae, Streptophyta, Magnoliopsida, Poales, Poaceae. The record is from RefSeq and is a predicted model, not a curated record.